AGUGUACGUAAUUUAAAAAAAAUAUCAAGUUGUGACCUUGAAAAUGGAUAACCUCGCACA
This 60-nucleotide transfer RNA is filed under the name Crotalus ravus (Mexican pygmy rattlesnake). RNAcentral describes it as "tRNA-His". The record is from RNAcentral. Lineage: Eukaryota; Metazoa; Chordata; Lepidosauria; Squamata; Viperidae.